GACGAACGCUGGCGGCGUGCUUAACACAUGCAAGUCGAACGCUGAAGCUUGGUGCUUGCACUGGGUGGAUGAGUGGCGAGCGGGUGAGUAAUACGUGAGUAACCUGCCCUUCACUCUGGGAUAAGCCUGGGAAACUGGGUCUAAUACUGGAUACGACAUGUCACCGCAUGGUGGUGUGUGGAAAGGGUUUUACUGGUUUUGGAUGGGCUCACGGCCUAUCAGCUUGUUGGUGGGGUAAUGGCUCACCAAGGCGACGACGGGUAGCCGGCCUGAGAGGGUGACCGGCCACACUGGGACUGAGACACGGCCCAGACUCCUACGGGAGGCAGCAGUGGGGAAUAUUGCACAAUGGGCGGAAGCCUGAUGCAGCGACGCCGCGUGAGGGAUGACGGCCUUCGGGUUGUAAACCUCUUUCAGCACGGAAGAAGCGAAAGUGACGGUACGUGCAGAAGAAGCGCCGGCUAACUACGUG
Molecule: ribosomal RNA, 472 nt
Filed under: uncultured bacterium
Lineage: Bacteria
Description: partial 16S ribosomal RNA
Rfam family: Bacterial small subunit ribosomal RNA
Source: RNAcentral